This 123-nucleotide small RNA is filed under the name Hafnia alvei FB1. RNAcentral describes it as "isrC Hfq binding RNA". It matches the Rfam family "isrC Hfq binding RNA". The record is from Rfam by way of RNAcentral. Lineage: Bacteria; Pseudomonadati; Pseudomonadota; Gammaproteobacteria; Enterobacterales; Hafniaceae.
CACCAUGCACAAGAAAACAAAACGGACAUUCUCUCCCGAGUUCAAACUGGAAUGCGCUCUGCUCGUUGUCGAUAAAGGGUAUUCGUACCGUCAGGCCUGCGAAGCGAUGAACAUCGGCUCCUC